ACGAAGGGGGCUAGCGUUGCUCGGAAUGACUGGGCGUAAAGGGCGCGUAGGCGGUUUAAGCAGUCAGAUGUGAAAUCCCCGGGCUUAACCUGGGAACUGCAUUUGAGACGCUUAGACUAGAGUUCGAGAGAGGGUUGUGGAAUUCCCAGUGUAGAGGUGAAAUUCGUAGAUAUUGGGAAGAACACCGGUGGCGAAGGCGGCAACCUGGCUCGAUACUGACGCUGAGGCGCGAAAGCGUGGGGAGCAAACAGG
This 252-nucleotide ribosomal RNA is filed under the name uncultured bacterium. RNAcentral's name for it is "partial 16S ribosomal RNA". It matches the Rfam family "Bacterial small subunit ribosomal RNA", at positions 525 to 776 of the family's 1533-position model. The record is from RNAcentral.